Molecule: ribosomal RNA, 321 nt
Filed under: uncultured Pseudomonadota bacterium
Lineage: Bacteria; Pseudomonadati; Pseudomonadota
Description: bacterial SSU rRNA
Rfam family: Bacterial small subunit ribosomal RNA
Source: RNAcentral
AUUGAACGCUGGCGGCAUGCCUUACACAUGCAAGUCGAACGGCAGCACGGGGGCAACCCUGGUGGCGAGUGGCGAACGGGUGAGUAAUACAUCGGAACGUGUCCUGUCGUGGGGGAUAACCAGUCGAAAGAUUGGCUAAUACCGCAUGAGAUCGAGAGAUGAAAGCGGGGGACCGCAAGGCCUCGCGCGAUAGGAGUGGCCGAUGUCGGAUUAGCUAGUUGGUGGGGUAAAGGCCCACCAAGGCGACGAUCCGUAGCUGGUUUGAGAGAACGACCAGCCACACUGGGACUGAGACACGGCCCAGACUCCUACGGGUGGCAG